Molecule: long non-coding RNA, 2821 nt
Organism: Nyctereutes procyonoides (raccoon dog)
Lineage: Eukaryota; Metazoa; Chordata; Mammalia; Carnivora; Canidae
Exons: 3
Source: RefSeq, a predicted model, not a curated record
CUUCCGGUGCCCUGCGCGCCGGCGCUCCCCGCCGCCGCCCCGCUGGCCCAGCCCAGGUACAGCCCGCGAGGCCUGGCGCGGACGUCCCCGGGUCCGGACGACUGUUCGUGGUGCGGCAAGAGCCUCAGGGAGCGGGCCGGCUUCCUCGCUCAAGUUCCGGGAGCCCUUUCAGAUUUUAUUUAUUCAUGAGAGACAGAGAGAGGCAGAGACACAGGCAGAGGGAGAAGCACACUCCAUGCAGGGAGCCCAAUGUGGGACCCGAUCCUGGGAGCCCGGGACCACGCCUUGAGCCGACGGCAGAUGCCCAACCGCUGAGCCACCCAGGCGUCCCGAGAUUUUUCUUCUUGAGAGAGAGAGCCAGAGUCCAUGCAGGGGGAGCAGGAGUGGCAGGGGAGCAGGAGUGACACUGCUCAGCAGGGAGCCCAAUGUGAGGCUCAAUCCCAGGAUCAUGACCUGAGCUGCCCAGCACCCCAAAAUACAGGAUUUAAUUUAAGUCUUUUUAAAUUUGUUGAGACUUGUUUUGUGGCUUAAUGUGAUCUUUUCUGGAGAAUAUUUCAUGUACACUUGAAUGUGUUUUCUGCAGUUUUAGGAUGGGAUGUUCUGAAUAUAUCUGUUAGACCCAUCUGGUCCAAUGUGUCAUUCAAAGCCACUGUUUCCUUGUUGAUUUUCUGUUUGGAUGAUAUAUUCAUUGAUGUAAGUGGGGUGUUAAAGUCCCCUACUAUUGUAUUAUUAUUGAUUUCUUCCUUUGUGUUUGUUAAUUGCUACUUUAUGUAAUUUGGGUGCUUCCAUAUUGGGUACAUAAAUAUUUACAAUUGUUAUACCUUCUUGUAGGGUUGUCCCCUUUAUGAUUAUAUAGUAUUCUUCUUUGUCUCAUUACAGUCUUUAUUUUAUUUUUUUGUUAACUAGGCUCCAGGCUGGGCUCCAGAGUGGGGCUUGAACUCACAACCCUGAGAUCAAGACCUGAGCUGAGAUCUAGAAUCAGACACUUAACCGACUGAGCCACUCAGGUGCCCCUACAGUCUUUAUUUUAAAGUCUAUUUUGGGGCAGCCCCGGUGGCUCAGUGGUUUAGCGCUGCCUUCAGCCCUAGAGACCUGGGAUCGAGUCCCACGUCAGGCUCCCUGCAUGGAGCCUGCUUCUCCCUAUGCCUGUGUCUCUGCCUCUCUCUGUGUGUGUGUGUGUCUCAUGAAUAAAUAAAAUAAAAUCUUAAAAAAAAAUAAAAAGGUCUAUUUUGUCAGAUACAAGUAUUGCUACCCCAGUUUUCUUUUCACAUCCAUGUGCAUAACAAAUGCUUUUCCUUCCUUUCAUUUUCAAUCUGUGUAUGUGUUUAGUCUGAAUAACCUUUUUUUUUUUUUUAAAGGAGACUAACAUUGGUUUGCCAACUUUGUGUUUUAGCAAGUUAGAGCAUUAAAACAGCAACAGCCUACUAGUGUCAUCAUCAUAUAAGUGUGGACAUUCGUAUUUUAUUUAUUUACUUACUUAAGAUCUUAUUUGUUUAUUCAUGAGAGACAGAGAGAUUGGGAGACAGAGGGAGAAGCAGACUCCCCACAAGGGGCCCGAUGUGGGACUCCAUCUGGGAUCCCAGGAUCAAGACCUGAGCUGAAGGCAGACAUUCAACCGCUGAGCCAUCCAGGCAUCCCAACAUUUGAAUUUUAAAAGAUCCAAUGGUCCUAUCAUCUCAUAGGACAGUUUUUUAAAUGGAGCAAUUUCAGUUUUAUGAAAAUCUUACUGUGUUGUUUUGAUUUCUCUCAUCUGAAGAGAAAUCUCACCUGCUUCAUGUUGACUAGAACAAUCCUCAGGGUAUGAGGUUUGGGGACUAGCUCAGUGUUUAGAAACUGCCCUCCUUAAUACCCCCCUUAGUGCCCCUGGGAGCUUCCCAUCUGGUUAUUUUGUUUCCUUCUUUAGUUAUUCUUCCCAGUUUGCUUUUUAAAGACUUUAUUACUUAAAAAAUUAAAAAUCAAAAAAAAUCUUUGGUGGCAUCUGGCUUAGUUGGGAGAGCAUAGGACUCUUGAUCUUGGGGUUGUAAGUUCAAGUUCCACAUUGGGUAUAGAGGUUACUUAAAUAAACUUUAAAAUUUUAUUGAGUAAUAAUUGACAAAUAUAAUUGUAAGCGGUUAAAGUGCACAACCUGAUGAUUUGAUAUAUAUGUAUAUUGUAGAAUGACUGCCAAGAUCAAAAUAAUUAACACAUCCAUCACCUCACAUAGUUAAGGCAUAGUUGGCUCUUUGUGUGGUGAGCAAGUUUAAGAUCCAUUUUCAACAACUUUCAAGUCUACAAUAAUAUAUUAAUUAUAGUUACCAUGCUAUACAUUAGAUUCUUAGACCCUUUUUUAAAAAAAAAUUAUUUUUAAAUAAUUUCCACACCCAAUGACGGGCUUGAACUCACCACCCUGAAAUCAAGAAACACAUGCUCUACCACUGAUCCAGCCAGGCACCCGGACCUUAUUUUUCUUAGAACUGAAGAUCUGUACCCUUUGACCUACAUCAGCUCAUGUAGGUUUUCUUAAUCAGUAUUCGUGGGGUGUUUGGCUAAUUAGAAAUCACACUGUGCAAAUCAGAAUCUCUUAUAGCUUCUAGAAAUUUCUUGGUGAGCAACCUUUAUCUUCCCCCACAAGAGCCAAUUUCGGGGGAAAAAUGAUGUUUGUGGGUUGCAUUUAUUUUUCAUUCCCAAUAAAAAUAGGUUUGAGUCCCAUGGGGUAAAAUGUAUUUUUCUUCCAGGGUAGAAUUCGUGGGCAACAAAGGAGGUUUAUGCUAAUGAGAGGCUAGCGCCGCUUUCCAGCUACUAAAAUGUUAAUAUGUGGCACAGUUGAGAACUAGUUACACAG